RNAcentral lists this unclassified non-coding RNA (585 nucleotides) under Bradyrhizobium sp. ORS 1824. RNAcentral's name for it is "partial 16S-23S ribosomal RNA intergenic spacer". The stretch from base 20 to 92 matches the Rfam family "tRNA". The record is from RNAcentral. Lineage: Bacteria; Pseudomonadati; Pseudomonadota; Alphaproteobacteria; Hyphomicrobiales; Nitrobacteraceae.
AGCAUUCGUCUUCUGGUACGGGGCCAUAGCUCAGCUGGGAGAGCGCGUGCUUUGCAAGCAUGAGGUCGUCGGUUCGAUCCCGUCUGGCUCCACCAGAUGGUUUGAUCACCAACGGCGUUACCGUCGUCCGCGAAACAUCACUUCGCACGCAUUGGUCCGGAUGGACGGUGACGUGCGUGUUUUCUGACAUCGUAAAGAGGAGAUCGAUCCGAGUUUGGAUCCAGCGAAGCAAUUCGCGGGUACCAUUCCUAAUCUCCAGAUCGUUUUCGGCGCUCGCGCAUCGCAGCUCAUCGCAAGAUGAGUGAGGUGAGCGAGUUGUAAAACGAUCUUUGUAGCGAAGCUUGACCGCCUCGCUAUCGGGCCGAUCUUACGAAGCAAGCUGGUCUUUCUAGUCAAUGUCCGGCUGCGCAAUCGCAUUCAUCGAGGAUGCGCGCCUGAGACUUCGGUCUUUGGGCAAUUGUGCAGACAACAUUCUGCCGAGUGUGUGGACAUUGAUAAUGAGAGCAAUCAAGUGCCUUAAGGGUGUUCGGUGGAUGCCUUGGCGCUGAGAGGCGAUGAAGGACGUGCUACGCUGCGAUAAGCCGU